GCCUGGGUGGCUCAGUCAGUUGAGCGUCUGACUUCUGCUCAGGUCAUGACCUCACGGUUCACGGGUUCAAGCCCCAUGUCGGGCU
RNAcentral lists this transfer RNA (85 nucleotides) under Felis catus (domestic cat). It matches the Rfam family "tRNA". From Rfam's summary of the family: Transfer RNA (tRNA) molecules are approximately 80 nucleotides in length. Their secondary structure includes four short double-helical elements and three loops (D, anti-codon, and T loops). RNAcentral also lists the same sequence under 4 other names. Lineage: Eukaryota; Metazoa; Chordata; Mammalia; Carnivora; Felidae. The record is from Rfam by way of RNAcentral.